RNAcentral lists this ribosomal RNA (433 nucleotides) under uncultured bacterium. RNAcentral's name for it is "bacterial SSU rRNA". It matches the Rfam family "Bacterial small subunit ribosomal RNA", at positions 43 to 524 of the family's 1533-position model. The record is from RNAcentral.
CAGGCCUAGCACAUGCAAGUCGAACGCCCCGCAAGGGGAGUAACAGACGGGUGAGUAACACGUGGGAACGUGCCCUUUGGUUCGGAACAACACAGGGAAACUUGUGCUAAUACCGGAUGUGCCCUUCGGGGGAAAGAUUUAUCGCCAUUGGAGCGGCCCGCGUCUGAUUAGCUAGUUGGUGAGGUAAAAGCUCACCAAGGCGACGAUCAGUAGCUGGUCUGAGAGGAUGACCAGCCACAUUGGGACUGAGACACGGCCCAAACUCCUACGGGAGGCAGCAGUGGGGAAUCUUGCGCAAUGGGCGAAAGCCUGACGCAGCCAUGCCGCGUGGAUGAUGAAGGUCUUAGGAUUGUAAAAUCCUUUCAGCGGGGACGAUAAUGACGGUACCCGCAGAAGAAGCCCCGGCUAACUUCGUGCCAGCAGCCGCGGUAAU